Molecule: long non-coding RNA, 1375 nt
Organism: Aedes aegypti (yellow fever mosquito)
Lineage: Eukaryota; Metazoa; Arthropoda; Insecta; Diptera; Culicidae
Exons: 2
Source: RefSeq, a predicted model, not a curated record
GAGAAUAAAAAAUGAGCACGAUUAGAGAGAUUAUUUCAAUUAUUGAAUUACAGCAGUCCCAACGGAAGUUCCUCAAUCGUGUUAAUUCGCUCGAGUUGUUGCUUGUGAUGGCGCGCGUUUCUUCGCGUGGGGUCCCCACCGCUUAAUAUCUAUCAUCGCUAUUAUGUUUCGACUGUGACGCCAACGCCGAACAUAAUUAGAUUAGCUCAAUUUGCUGCGGCAUUCGUUUCGCUUACUUUCGGAUUAAUUACAGUUGUAGGUCCCGUGGCACAGAGGUUCAGUCUUUUGAAAAGGGGGCAAAAACUAAACAUGGUUUUUGGUUGAAAAACAAAGUCUAACAUUCUUAUCCAGUAUCAGAGAGUUGAGCAUAUAGACGAGAAUUUACAAACAUUUUAUCCAUCAUGUUUGGACGCUGUACCUAAUGUCCAAACGCCGUAAUUUUUGCUUCAAGAUGGGUCAUCAACGGUAAAAUAAAAGUUAUAAAAUUUUAUACCCUCCUAUUAGCGAGCAAUUUCCAGAACGUAUUCCUAAACUAUAUUUCAAAAUUAGGGGCAAAAUGGGUCAUGCUUUUUUAAAUUGUUUCCAAACUAAUAAGUAAUUUUAACUAUAUUUUCUCUUCUUUGCAGUUGAAGUUUUGUAAGAAUUUUGUUCUAUAAAAUCAAGGAAUGAUUACUAUGCUUUAAAUUAGGUCUUCAACCCUGAAUGAUUGUGUCAAGACAAGAAGAGUAAACCAAAAGGAAUACGUAAUUAUGACCAAGUUUUUUCUAAUCUAAACCAUCGUGCGAGGGAAGCCUGCGCAGCCUCAGCAGAUUUGAAAGAAAGUCAAGCUGUUUGAAGAAAUCAAUUACCACCGCACCGAGAGCGUAUCGUAAUUAGCCACUGCCAUACAGAAGUAAAACGGAGUUCUGUUUCGGAAAGGAAAAAGAUCGACCGCAUUAGUCUUGGGAGGAGAUUGAAAUUGUUCGAUUGUGCCUGAGUUGGUGCACUUGCACGCGGCAAGCGGAGGAUUAAUUCGAUGCAGUUGUGAUUUUGUACAGAAAUAUUAAUUUCUAUGACAAACGGUCUGACGAUUAUGGUAAUGCGGUCGAGAGUGCGUGGCGAGUGCGAAAGAAACGAGUCAUUUCAUGGCAGAACGAACCUAAUGAACAUCUGGGCUAUGAUUUACCAAUGUGAGAUAGGGGCCGAGAGAUUAAAUUUAAGAUCGGAUAUACCGACGCGAUUGAAUCCAAGUGACUUUUGAUAUAUGUAAAGAUGCAGCGAAACUUCAUUUGCAUAGAGUGGGAUCUACAAAUUUAUGGCUGAAGCUUGAUUAGGUUAGGUACAGGUUAUGUCCCGGAAGAAUAUGGAAAUUAGAUGAUGCGCUUCGACUCCCAUC